This 504-nucleotide ribosomal RNA is filed under the name Staphylococcus sp. BAB-5641. RNAcentral describes it as "bacterial SSU rRNA". It matches the Rfam family "Bacterial small subunit ribosomal RNA", at positions 343 to 838 of the family's 1533-position model. Lineage: Bacteria; Bacillati; Bacillota; Bacilli; Caryophanales; Staphylococcaceae. The record is from RNAcentral.
GGGAGGCAGCAGUAGGGAAUCUUCCGCAAUGGGCGAAAGCCUGACGGAGCAACGCCGCGUGAGUGAUGAAGGUCUUCGGAUCGUAAAACUCUGUUAUUAGGGAAGAACAAACGUGUAAGUAACUGUGCACGUCUUGACGGUACCUAAUCAGAAAGCCACGGCUAACUACGUGCCAGCAGCCGCGGUAAUACGUAGGUGGCAAGCGUUAUCCGGAAUUAUUGGGCGUAAAGCGCGCGUAGGCGGUUUUUUAAGUCUGAUGUGAAAGCCCACGGCUCAACCGUGGAGGGUCAUUGGAAACUGGAAAACUUGAGUGCAGAAGAGGAAAGUGGAAUUCCAUGUGUAGCGGUGAAAUGCGCAGAGAUAUGGAGGAACACCAGUGGCGAAGGCGACUUUCUGGUCUGUAACUGACGCUGAUGUGCGAAAGCGUGGGGAUCAAACAGGAUUAGAUACCCUGGUAGUCCACGCCGUAAACGAUGAGUGCUAAGUGUUAGGGGGUUUCCGCCC